GAUGAACGCUGGCGGCGUGCCUAAUACAUGCAAGUCGAGCGAACAGACGAGGAGCUUGCUCCUCUGACGUUAGCGGCGGACGGGUGAGUAACACGUGGAUAACCUACCUAUAAGACUGGGAUAACUUCGGGAAACCGGAGCUAAUACCGGAUAAUAUAUUGAACUGCAUGGUUCAAUAGUGAAAGACGGUUUUGCUGUCACUUAUAGAUGGAUCCGCGCCGCAUUAGCUAGUUGGUAAGGUAACGGCUUACCAAGGCAACGAUGCGUAGCCGACCUGAGAGGGUGAUCGGCCACACGGAAACUGAGACGCGGACCAAAAUCGGACGGGAGGCAGCGGUAGGAAAUCUGCCGGAAGGGGCGAAAGCCUAACGGGGCAACGCCGCGGGAGUGAGAAGGGUCUACGGAGCGUAAAACACUGUGGUUAGAGAAGAACAAAUGUGUAAGAAACGAUGCACGUCUGAACGGUACCUAAUCAGAAGGCCACGGCAAACUAGUG
Molecule: ribosomal RNA, 496 nt
Filed under: uncultured bacterium
Lineage: Bacteria
Description: partial 16S ribosomal RNA
Rfam family: Bacterial small subunit ribosomal RNA
Source: RNAcentral